This is a small nucleolar RNA of Astyanax mexicanus (Mexican tetra), 76 nucleotides long. Ensembl annotates it as small nucleolar RNA, C/D box 66. NCBI's taxonomy places the organism in Eukaryota, Metazoa, Chordata, Actinopteri, Characiformes, Acestrorhamphidae. The record is from Ensembl.
CUCCAGUGAUGACCUCUAUUAUGUGCCACGUGUCUGGGCCACUGACCUAAACUGAUGGGACUGAGGAACUGAGGAG